UCCCAGACUCCUACGGGAGGCAGCAGUGGGGAAUAUUGCACAAUGGGGGAAACCCUGAUGCAGCGACGCCGCGUGAGUGAAGAAGUAUUUCGGUAUGUAAAGCUCUAUCAGCAGGGAAGAAAUAGCGACCUUUGGGUCGCCAGACGGUACCUGACUAAGAAGCCCCGGCUAACUACGUGCCAGCAGCCGCGGUAAUACGUAGGGGGCAAGCGUUAUCCGGAUUUACUGGGUGUAAAGGGAGCGCAGACGGCUGUGCAAGUCCGGAGUGAAAGGCGGGGGCCCAACCCCCGGACUGCUCUGGAAACUGUAAAGCUGGAGUGCAGGAGAGGUAAGCGGAAUUCCUAGUGUAGCGGUGAAAUGCGUAGAUAUUAGGAGGAACACCAGUGGCGAAGGCGGCUUACUGGACUGCAACUGACGUUGAGGCUCGAAAGCGUGGGGAGCAAACAGGAUUAGAUACCCGAGUA
RNAcentral lists this ribosomal RNA (464 nucleotides) under uncultured bacterium. RNAcentral's name for it is "bacterial SSU rRNA". It matches the Rfam family "Bacterial small subunit ribosomal RNA", at positions 329 to 792 of the family's 1533-position model. The record is from RNAcentral.